Molecule: transfer RNA, 75 nt
Filed under: Fusobacterium perfoetens
Lineage: Bacteria; Fusobacteriati; Fusobacteriota; Fusobacteriia; Fusobacteriales; Fusobacteriaceae
Also listed under: 4 other names
Description: tRNA-Glu
Rfam family: tRNA
About the family: Transfer RNA (tRNA) molecules are approximately 80 nucleotides in length. Their secondary structure includes four short double-helical elements and three loops (D, anti-codon, and T loops). Further hydrogen bonds mediate the characteristic L-shaped molecular structure. tRNAs have two regions of fundamental functional importance: the anti-codon, which is responsible for specific mRNA codon recognition, and the 3' end, to which the tRNAs corresponding amino acid is attached (by aminoacyl-tRNA synthetases). tRNAs cope with the degeneracy of the genetic code in two manners: having more than one tRNA (with a specific anti-codon) for a particular amino acid; and 'wobble' base-pairing, i.e. permitting non-standard base-pairing at the 3rd anti-codon position.
Source: RNAcentral
GCCCCGUUCGUUCAACGGUUAGGACAUCAGAUUUUCACUCUGGAAACAGGGGUUCGAUUCCCCUACGGGGUACCA